Molecule: long non-coding RNA, 402 nt
Filed under: Ananas comosus (pineapple)
Lineage: Eukaryota; Viridiplantae; Streptophyta; Magnoliopsida; Poales; Bromeliaceae
Description: long non-coding RNA (ACOM_LNC005969)
Source: RNAcentral
UUAUUCCAUAUUUAUCUCCUAACCAAAUAAACCCUAAAAUAACAAAUAUUAUCCUCAAAUAUUUAGUUCUUUAACUAAAUGCAGUCAUAAAAAUCUCAAGAUAAAGCACUUUAUUCAUGAGAUGUUAUUUCAUCAUGUCAAUCUUUUCAGAUGUACCCUUUUUUGGCAAAUCCUAUUCCAUACAAAAUUUAAAGUGUUACAAAAUGAAAUCUAAUACCGACUGUCCCUGACGCAAGUGGCAAAGGACUUGGUGGUUGGUAUCUAAGGUCCUAAGUUCGAAUCCUAAUUGAUUUACAGUUCCAGCUAAAUUUAUUUCUAAAAGCAAUAAAUGAAACAGGUAGCAUACUACCUAUCUCUCAAAAAAAUAUAAAAUGAAAUCUAAUAUAAAGUAGACACAUCAAC